GGAUCAAGAGGGUGCUAGACUCGGCCUGAAGUAUUUAUUGAAUGUUGUCACACUGCCCAUAGAGGGUGUAAGGCCCGUAAGGCCGGCGUCUAGAUUACCUCGCUGGUUCCUCUCGAGAGUCGGGUUGCUUGAAAGUGCAGCCCUAAGUAGGUGGUAAACUCCAUCUAAGGCUAAAUAUUCCCACGAGACCGAUAGCGAACAAGUACCGCGAGGGAAAGUUGAAAAGAACUUUGAAAAGAGAGUUCAAUAGAGCGUGAAACUACCACGAGGCUAAAGCGAGUGAGCGUACGUAUCCGAACGGUUUGAUUCAGUCCGCCCGAGCACGAUGAGCAGUGGGGGGUCGUAAUACGUCAUUAACGGAUCUCCCGAAAGGAUCCGAGCUUUACGCUCGGCCUCUAGGGUGACCGGCGUAUCCUCCGCUUUGCUCUGUAGGGGGACGCAUUUCCGGCCGAAGUAGGGCGUCGCGGCCGUUUCGGGGGUGUCUAAGACACGGGGGUCUUGGAAUCCGCAUCUUCUCGUCCCGGCGCGCUCUACCGCCUCGCCUUCGCGGAGGGGCGGCAUCACGCCGGGGUCGCGAGUCGAGCGGGGCCGCCUCGUUGAUCUGACGGCCUC
RNAcentral lists this ribosomal RNA (612 nucleotides) under Paraplatyarthrus sp. 9 MJ-2016. RNAcentral describes it as "eukaryotic LSU rRNA". It matches the Rfam family "Eukaryotic large subunit ribosomal RNA", at positions 158 to 628 of the family's 3401-position model. The record is from RNAcentral. Lineage: Eukaryota; Metazoa; Arthropoda; Malacostraca; Isopoda; Paraplatyarthridae.